AGAGCAAGUCCUAUACGACCAGCUCCCUCUGAAUUCCCCCAGGUCUUGACCGAAGCAAGGGUAGGAGGUUGUAGCGGUGCGAUGUAGUCAGCUUGCUCU
Molecule: signal recognition particle RNA, 99 nt
Filed under: bovine gut metagenome
Also listed under: 1 other name
Description: Bacteroidales small SRP
Rfam family: Bacteroidales small SRP
About the family: The non-coding component of the signal recognition particle in Bacteroides
Source: RNAcentral